Molecule: long non-coding RNA, 511 nt
Filed under: Oryctolagus cuniculus (rabbit)
Lineage: Eukaryota; Metazoa; Chordata; Mammalia; Lagomorpha; Leporidae
Description: lncRNA (ENSOCUG00000031885.1)
Source: RNAcentral
UAUGCACUUGGUAUGCCUUUACCAUGUAAAACUUUGAAGUUUACCUGUUUGGUUUCAUUACAUUGUUGAAAGUAGCUAACACUCUUAAAUUGAAAUUCCAAUCAAACAUUUCCAUAACUCCCAAACCCCUCCCAAGGAUCCACAAGGCAGAGACUAUUAUCCCCUGAGUUAAGUGAACAUAAAAAUUCCUUGAGUUCCAACAUUCUGCAUCCCCAUCAGUUUCCGGGUACAGAAUAAGUUGGCUUGAUUUUAUUUUCUAGUUAUAGAUAUUUAUGCCUGACCUCUUUCCAUUUAUUCCCUGGCUGUUUUAUUUAUUCUGCAGUUUUUCCUAAUGGUAGCCCCUCAUCCCUACAGCUGGCUACUGUGUUGGGAUCCUGCUGGCAUCUGUCUUGGGCAUUUUCUCCAAAUCAGUGGAGCUGAGGUGCAUUUGGUCAUCUGCACCUCUGUGUGGCUGGAGAGGCCCUUCAGAGAGAUGCAAGGACAGGAGUUGUGCUGCGUCCAUGGAGACUGA